GAGGGUAUAGCUCAGUAGUAGAGCAUGUGCUUAGAAGGCACGAGCUCCUGGGUUCAAUCCCCAGUAUCUCCA
This 72-nucleotide transfer RNA is filed under the name Camelus bactrianus (Bactrian camel). It matches the Rfam family "tRNA". From Rfam's summary of the family: Transfer RNA (tRNA) molecules are approximately 80 nucleotides in length. Their secondary structure includes four short double-helical elements and three loops (D, anti-codon, and T loops). RNAcentral also lists the same sequence under 2 other names. Lineage: Eukaryota; Metazoa; Chordata; Mammalia; Artiodactyla; Camelidae. The record is from Rfam by way of RNAcentral.